GGUCACUGGGCCAACAGUGAAAUCAAGAUGGAAAUUAAAAAGUUAUUUGAACUGAAUGAUAAUAGUGUUACAACCUAUCACAACCUCUGGGAUACAGCAAAGUGAUACCAGGAGGAAAGUUCAUAGCAUUCAUUAAAUGUCCACAUCAAAAAGAUUGAAAGAGCACAAAUAGACAGACAAUCUCAAGUCACACCUCAAGGAGCUAGAGAAACAGUAACAAACCAAACCCAAACCCAGCAGAAAAGAAAUAACCAAGAUCAGAGCAGAACUAAAUGAAAUUGAAACAAAAAAAUACAAAAGAUAAAUUUUAAAAAGCUGUUUCUUUGAAAAAUAAUAUUGAUAGACCAUUGACAAGAUUAACCAUGAAAAGAAGACGGACGAUCCAAAUAAGCUCAAUUAGAAAUGAAAUGGGAAGAAUUACAACCAAUACCACAAAAAUACAAAAGAUCAUUCAAGGCUACUAUGAACAAGUUUUUGUGCAUAAACUAGGAAACCUAGAGGAGAUGGAUAAAUUCUUGGAAAGAUACACCUGGCCUAGAUUAAACCAGGAAGUAAUAGAAACUCUGAAGAGACCAAUAACAGCCCUGGACCAGACGGAUUCACAGCUGAAUUCUAUGAAACAUUCAAAGAAGAAUUGGUACCAAUCCUAUCGACACUAUUCCAAAUGAUAGAGAAAGAGAGAAUCUUCCUUAAGUCAUUCUAUGAAGCCAGUGUCACCCUAAUACCAAACCAGGAAAGGACAUAACAAAAAAAGAAAACUACAGACCAGUAUCUCUGAUGAACAUAGAUACAAAAAUUCUCAAAAAAAUACUAGUGACGUGAAUCCAACAGUAUAUCCAAAAGAUAAUCCACCAUGAAAAGUGGGUUUCAUACCAGGGACGCAGGGAAGGUUUAACAUAUACAAGUCAAUAAAUGUGAGACCAGUCAUAAACAGAAUUAAAAACAAAAAUCACAUGAUCAUGUCAAUAGAUGCAGAAAAAGCAUUUGACAAAAUCUAGCAUGCUUUCUGAUUAAAACCCUCAGCAAAAUCGGCAUAAAAGGGAUAUACCUUAAGGUAAUAAAAGCCAUUGACAACAAACCCACAGCCAACAUAAUACUGAAUGGGGAAAUUUGAAAGCCUUCCCCUGAGAAAUGGAACAAGACAAGGGUGCCCACUUUCACCACUUUUAUUCAAUACAGUACUGCAAGUCUUAGAGCAAUCGGAUAAGAGAAAGAAAUAAAGGGCAUCCAAACCAGUAAAGAGGAAGUCAAACUGCUACUGUUUGCUGAUGACAUGAUCGUAUACAUAGAAAACCCUAAAGACUCAUCCAUAAAGCUCCUAGAACUGGUAAAUGAAUUCAGCAAAGUUUCAGGAUGUACACAAAUCAGUAGCCCUGCUAUAUACCAACAGUGACCAAGCUGAGAAUCAAAUCAAGAACUCAACCCCUUUUACAAUAGCUGCAAAAAAAAUUUAAAUACUUUAGAAUAUUCCUAACAAAGGAGGUGAAAUACUUCUACAAGGAAAACUACAAAACACUGCUGAAAAAAUCAUAGAUGACACAAACAAAUGGAAACACAUCUCCUGCUCAUGAAUGGGUAGAAUCAAUAUUGUGAAAAUGAACAUACUGCCACAAGCAAUCUGCAAAUUUAUUGAAAUUCCCAUCAAAAUAGCACUGUCAUUCUUCACAGAACUAGUAAAAACAAUCUAAAAUGCAUAUGGAACCAAAAAGUCCCCACAUAGCAAAAGCAAGACUAAGGGAAAAGAACAAACCUGGAAGCAUUACAUUACCCAACUUCAAAUUAUACUAUAAUGCUAUAGUCACUAAAACAGCAUGGUACUCGUAUAAAAACAGGCUUGUAGACCAAUGGAACAGAAUAGAGAACUCAGAAAUAAACCCAGAUACUUACAGCCAACUGAUCUUUGACAAAGCAAACAAAAACGUAAAGUGGGGAAAGGACACCCUAUUCAACAAAUGGUGCUGGGAUGGUUGGCAAGCCACAUGUAGAAGAAUGAAACAGGAUCCUCAUCUCUUAACUUACACAAAAAUCAACUCAAGCUGGAUCAAAGACUUAUAUCAAAUACCUGAAAUCAUAAAAACUCUAGAAGAUAACAUUGGAAAAACCCUUCUAGACAUUGGUUCAGGCAGAGACUUAUGACCAAAAACCCAAAAGCAAAUGCAACAAAAACAACGAUAAAUAGAUGAGACUUAAUUAAACUAAAAAGCUUCUGCACAGCAAGAGAAAUAAUUAGCAGAUUAAGCAGACAACCCACAGAGUGGGAGAAAAUCUUGGCAAUCUAUACAUCUGACAAAGGACUAAUAUCAAUAAUCUACAAAGAACUCAAACAAAUCAGCAAGAGAAAAACAAACAAUCCCAUUCAAAAGUGGGCUAAGGAUGUGAGUAGGCAAUUCUCAAAUGAAAAUAAACAAAUGGCCAACAAACAUAUGAAAAAAUGCUCAAUAUCGCUAAUGAUCAGGGAAAUGCAAAUCAAAACCACAAUGUGAUGCCUUCCUACUACUUCAAGAAUGGCCAUAAUCAAAAAAUCAAAAAAUAAUACUUGUUGGUGUGGAUACAGUAAACAGGGAACACUUUGACACCGUUGGUUGGAAUGUAAACUAGUGCAACCACUAUGGAAAAAAGUGAGGGGAUUCCUUAAAGAACUAAAAGAAAAUCUACCAUUUGAUCCGGCAAUUCCAUUACUUGGUAUCUACCCAGAGGAAAAGAAGUCAUUAUAAGAAAGAGAUACUUGCACACGCAUGUUUAUAGUAGCACAAUUCACAAUUGCAAGAAUAUAGAGUCAGCCCAAAUGCCCACCGAUCAUUGACUAGAUAAAACACAUACACACACAAACACUAUGGAAUACUACUCAGCCAUAAAAAGGAACUAAAUAAUGGCACUGGCAGCAAGAUGGGUGGAAUUGGAGACCAUUAUUCUAAGUGAAGUAACUCAGGAAUGAAAAACCAAAUAUCAUAUUUUCUCACUCAUAAGUAGGAGAUGAGCUAUGAGGACACAAAGGCAAAAGAAUGAUACAAUGGACUUUGAGGAUUCAGUGAUAAGGGUGGGAGGGAGGUCAGGGAUAAAACCUAGUCACUAUGUACAGUGUACAUUGCUCAAGUUAUGGGUGCACCAAAAUCUCAGAAAUCACCACCAAAGAACUUAUUCAUGUGACCAAACACCACCUGUUCCCCCAAAACCUAUUGAAAUAGAAAAAAUAAAUAAAUAAAAGUAAAAAACCUGUUAUCAAUCCCAAAAUAAAAUUAUCAGUUACCCCCCAAAAAGGAUUUAUCAAGAAAGAUGAGAUGGAAUUGAAAGGUAUAUAUGCAAUCAACAGUAUGGACAAAUAAUAUUGAAUACAUUUUUUCCCUUUCAUACACCCUUUUAUUCAUUUUUCUGUUUAAUCAUCUCUCGCAUAUGGAGACCUAGCAUUUAAGGGAAUUAUAGCCACUACCACCUUGUUUUCAAGGCCAUAAUGAAUUUGGAAAUGUGGUAUCCACUUAUGAGCUUCCAUCACAUUUUGAGCAUAUGGCUCCAUGAAAUACCGAAAGCACUUUGGGAUAAACUCCAUACAGUCAGGAGAUCUUUCUUAAUACCAUCUGGCAACUACUCUGUGCUUACUCUUUGUCCCACCUUCUAAACGUUUAGAUGGGCAGGUGGGAAGAGCAGUUGCCACAUUAUUGAAAGCCAGUGUUCUAGUAUCAGAGGGCCAUAGCAGGCCCUCUGGAGCAACAUCUGGAAUGUCCACAGGUAACCCUGUCAAUCUCUGGGGAUCACAGGGCAUCACUUUCCUCUACUUCUCUCUCUAUGUGUGUCUCUGCAAGCCAACCUGAUUCUAUAUUACAUUUUCACAAAGUACCAUAUUCUAAAUUUAGCUUAUCCAGGGAGAUGAUAUACUUGAUUCACUUUGGGGGAGUGAUCCUCUGCCUGGUAGGCAGAAUAAUGGCCCUCAAAGAAGUCCGCUCCCAAUCCCUGGAAUCUAGAAAUAUGUUGCUUUACAGGGCAAAAAUGGAUUUUGUAGAUAUGAUUCAGUUAAAGGUCUUGGGAUGGGAAGAUUAGCUUGGAUUAUCCAGGUGAACCUAAUCUAAUCUUAUGGCUUCUUAAAAUUGAUGAGCUUUUCCAGGCUGAGAUCAAAGACGGAGAUGUGCCUACCCGCAGAUCCUAGAUGGCCAUGUUUGCAACAGAGGUAAUGAUGAGCAGUGCGAAGAUGUGACUCCAAAGCCUGGAGAAGGACAGACCAGCAUCCCUGCAAGAGAUCCAACUGUCUUCUUUUCCGCAGAGGUCCAUAAUUUACAUGGGCCUGACAAAGAAUACUGUAACUUGCAGAAAUUAUCUUCAGUUCAAAUCCUUCAUUUUGGGGGUUAAAUAACUUGCCCAAGAUGUCGAGGGAGCGGAAAUACUUGCUGGUCUUGCAGCGGCUGUGGAGCCUGGAAUCCUGCCAAGAAGAGCAUGUGUGAGAGAUCAAAAUGUUUGCUUACAUUCCUCCUGUGAAGGGAGUUGGGAAAUAACCUAAGAAGCCCAAUCCAAAAACAAAGAUGUACCAUCCAGUCUUCUCUGUGAGAACCAAACUACAAACCAUCUGAAUGUUCCAAAAGUGUUUUGAUGAUGUAUUGAUGUAUUUUAAAUUAUCCUGAAAAUGUUCUUGGCAGAUGCUUAAACAUGUAAUUACUGAGAUGAUGUAGAAAUACCAAGUGUUUAUUAAAACAAUACAGAGUAAUACAAAUGGUAUGUUUGUCGCAAUAUAAAAGUAUCUAAAAAUUAAAGAGUUCUUUAAUGGUGGAGAUUGUUUUCCUUUUUGAAGUUAAAAUAUAAAUUUUUGUAAAAAGCACAAAUUAUUACUAUUUAUAGCUAACAUUUAUGGAGUGCUGAC
This 4843-nucleotide long non-coding RNA is filed under the name Homo sapiens (human). RNAcentral's name for it is "PREDICTED lncRNA (TCONS_00202170)". The record is from RNAcentral. Lineage: Eukaryota; Metazoa; Chordata; Mammalia; Primates; Hominidae.